GAUGAACGCUGGCGGCGUGCCUAAUACAUGCAAGUCGAGCGAACAGACGAGGAGCUUGCUCCUCUGACGUUAGCGGCGGACGGGUGAGUAACACGUGGAUAACCUACCUAUAAGACUGGGAUAACUUCGGGAAACCGGAGCUAAUACCGGAUAAUAUAUUGAACCGCAUGGUUCAAUAGUGAAAGACGGUUUUGCUGUCACUUAUAGAUGGAUCCGCGCCGCAUUAGCUAGUUGGUAAGGUAACGGCUUACCAAGGCAACGAUGCGUAGCCGACCUGAGAGGGUGAUCGGCCACACUGGAACUGAGACACGGUCCAGACUCCUACGGGAGGCAGCAGUAGGGAAUCUUCCGCAAUGGGCGAAAGCCUGACGGAGCAACGCCGCGUGAGUGAUGAAGGUCUUCGGAUUGUGAAACUCUGUUAUUAGGGAAGAACAAAUGUGUAAGUAACUAUGCACGUCUUGACGGUACCUAAUCAGAAAGCCACGGCUAACUACGUG
RNAcentral lists this ribosomal RNA (497 nucleotides) under uncultured bacterium. RNAcentral's name for it is "partial 16S ribosomal RNA". It matches the Rfam family "Bacterial small subunit ribosomal RNA", at positions 28 to 507 of the family's 1533-position model. The record is from RNAcentral.